Small nucleolar RNA from Suricata suricatta (meerkat), 131 nucleotides. Its record names the gene SNORA70. It matches the Rfam family "Small nucleolar RNA SNORA70". From Rfam's summary of the family: snoRNA U70 seems to be exclusive to mammals and is a member of the H/ACA class of snoRNA which contain H (ANANNA) and ACA box motifs. H/ACA box snoRNAs are involved in the conversion of uridines to pseudouridines (5-ribosyluracil) a constituent of structural RNAs (transfer, ribosomal, small nuclear, and small nucleolar). Lineage: Eukaryota; Metazoa; Chordata; Mammalia; Carnivora; Herpestidae. The record is from Ensembl.
CUGCAGCCAAUUAAGCUGACUGUGCUGCUCUUUCCCCACGGGGGCCCAGUGUGCGAUGGCUCAAACAGCUGCUUCCUUCGUAUGCAGCCUGUUGAUUGUCUGAGUUGCCCUAAAGAACCUUGGGGACAGCC